This 428-nucleotide ribosomal RNA is filed under the name uncultured bacterium. Its description in RNAcentral is "bacterial SSU rRNA". It matches the Rfam family "Bacterial small subunit ribosomal RNA", at positions 355 to 776 of the family's 1533-position model. The record is from RNAcentral.
UGGGGAAUUGUUCGCAAUGGGCGCAAGCCUGACGACGCAACGCCGCGUGGAGGAUGAAGGUCUUCGGAUUGUAAACUCCUGUUGCCCGGGACGAAUAGCUCCGACCUAACACGUCGGAGUCUGACGGUACCGGGUGAGGAAGCCCCGGCUAACUCUGUGCCAGCAGCCGCGGUAAUACAGAGGGGGCAAGCGUUGUUCGGAAUUACUGGGCGUAAAGGGCGCGUAGGCGGCCUUCUAAGUCGAACGUGAAAUCCCUGGGCUCAACCCAGGAACUGCGUCCGAGACUGAAAGGCUCGAAUCCGGGAGAGGGAUGUGGAAUUCCAGGUGUAGCGGUGAAAUGCGUAGAUAUCUGGAGGAACAUCGGUGGCGAAGGCGGCAUCCUGGACCGGUAUUGACGCUGAGGCGCGAAAGCCAGGGGAGCAAACGGG